CAGCCCGCCGCCGCCAUGGCCGCCCGGCCGCUCACCGAGGAGGCCUUCCACAGCCGGCCGCAGUCACGCUGCCCGCGACUAGGCCCCGUUAGGGGCGGAAGACGAGGGAGGCGGGCGGCCGCGUCGGCCCGAUAGGGGCUUCGCGGCGUGAGCGAACAGCUGCAGCCCGCAAGCGCGCCCCUACCCCGUGCUAGAGCCUAGCGCGCGCCCCGCGGCCGCCGGGACACUCCGCGCUCGCCGGGGCGGGCAGGAAGCGGCCGAGGAGAGGGACGGGCUGGAGAGGUCGGAGGUCAGCCGCAAGGCAUCGCGGGACGGCGGCCCCGGUGGAGGCGCUCGCCGGGGCCGCCUGCGACUGCGGCGCGGCUUCAGGCGGAGGGAUCUGGGCGAAGGAGGAGGCCGGCAGUGCACCAUAUUCCACUCCAGAGCCAGGAAACAAUGCUCAAAGAGAGGACCAGAGCACCCCACAAAGUGAAACGAAGCCAUUCUCGGUGCCAGCGAGGUCCCAAGCUCCUUGGAGGAUGAAAACUGCCAAGUUCAUCAGGAAAGCCAGCAUGACGAGCUCCUCCAAAACAACUAAGAGCUCCCCACAGCUUCUCUCAGCUCCCAACAGCCUCUCUCAGCUCCCAACAGUCUGCCUCUUAUGCUGCUGGCAACAGUCCUCAGGAAAGGCUUCGGAUGAAAACACCCGGGAGCGGCAUGUGGUUAAUGAGACAUCUAGGGAAGUAUGGUCGUGUGUGUUCCGUAUCCAGAUGGAACAGCUGACGCUCAGCGAGAUUAAAUGACAGCAUGGCUAAGAAAAGGUAAAGCCCCUGUCCGGAUGAAAUUAAACUGAUUCCAAAGCCCAUUCCUAAACACAGGGACACAUCCAAAAAAGGAGGAAUCUUCACCAUUGUGCUGAUACAGCUAACAUAGUGACAAACUAUGUGACAAAAUAUGUUUAGUCUCAUCAGACCAUUCUAUGAUAAAAGUUAGUGUCCCCUCCUUGGAAUAUCCUUAUUUUAUAGCAGUAGACCCUUGAACAGAAAGACAAGUCUCCU
This 1037-nucleotide long non-coding RNA is filed under the name Chinchilla lanigera (long-tailed chinchilla). RNAcentral's name for it is "lncRNA (ENSCLAG00000026050.1)". Lineage: Eukaryota; Metazoa; Chordata; Mammalia; Rodentia; Chinchillidae. The record is from RNAcentral.